ACGGGAGGCAGCAGUGGGGAAUAUUGGACAAUGGGCGCAAGCCUGAUCCAGCAAUGCCGCGUGAGUGAUGAAGGCCUUCGGGUUGUAAAGCUCUUUCGCACGCGACGAUGAUGACGGUAGCGUGAGAAGAAGCCCCGGCUAACUUCGUGCCAGCAGCCGCGGUAAUACGAAGGGGGCUAGCGUUGUUCGGAAUUACUGGGCGUAAAGGGCGCGUAGGCGGUUUGUCAAGUCAGGCGUGAAAGCCCCGGGCUCAACCUGGGAACUGCGCUUGAGACUGGCAGGCUCGAGUUCGGGAGAGGAUGGUGGAAUUCCCAGUGUAGAGGUGAAAUUCGUAGAUAUUGGGAAGAACACCGAUGGCGAAGGCAGCCAUCUGGACCGACACUGACGCUGAGGCGCGAAAGCGUGGGGAGCAAACAGGAUUAGAUACCCUGGUA
RNAcentral lists this ribosomal RNA (434 nucleotides) under uncultured Skermanella sp. RNAcentral describes it as "bacterial SSU rRNA". It matches the Rfam family "Bacterial small subunit ribosomal RNA", at positions 341 to 792 of the family's 1533-position model. Lineage: Bacteria; Pseudomonadati; Pseudomonadota; Alphaproteobacteria; Rhodospirillales; Azospirillaceae. The record is from RNAcentral.